GCACUGCUUAUAAGUCCCACAAUAGGACGAAACGGCCGUCCAGUAC
Molecule: non-coding RNA, 46 nt
Organism: Schistosoma mansoni
Lineage: Eukaryota; Metazoa; Platyhelminthes; Trematoda; Strigeidida; Schistosomatidae
Source: Rfam